This is a non-coding RNA of Schistosoma rodhaini, 46 nucleotides long. The record is from Rfam. NCBI's taxonomy places the organism in Eukaryota, Metazoa, Platyhelminthes, Trematoda, Strigeidida, Schistosomatidae.
UCAUUGCUGAGGAGUCUCACAAUAGAACGAAACGGCCGUCCAAUGC